Molecule: ribosomal RNA, 492 nt
Filed under: uncultured bacterium
Lineage: Bacteria
Description: partial 16S ribosomal RNA
Rfam family: Bacterial small subunit ribosomal RNA
Source: RNAcentral
AGUGAACGCUGGCGGUAGGCCUAACACAUGCAAGUCGAACGGCCGCACAGUAAGCUCUUGCUCUUACGGGUGGCGAGUGGCGGACGGGUGAGGAAUACAUCGCAAUCUACUUUUUCGUGGGUGAUAACGUAGGGAAACUUACGCUAAUACCGCAUACGUCCUACGGGUGAAAGCAGUGGUUCUUCGGACCUUGCGCGAUUCAAUGAGCCGAUGUCGGAUUAGCUAGUUGGCGGGGUAAAGGCCCACCAAGGCGACGAUCCGUAGCUGGUCUGAGAGGAUGAUCAGCCACACUGGAACUGAGACACGGUCCAGACUCCUACGGGAGGCAGCAGUGGGGAAUAUUGGACAAUGGGCGCAAGCCUGAUCCAGCCAUACCGCGUGGGUGAAGAAGGCCUUCGGGUUGUAAAGCCCUUUUGUUGGGAAAGAAAAGCAGCAGGUUAAUACCCCGCUGUUCUGACGGUACCCAAAGAAUAAGCACCGGCUAACUUCGUG